ACAAUGGUAGUUCAGUGGUAGAAUUCUCGCCUUCCAUGCGGGAGGCCCAGGUUCAAUUCCUGGCCAAUGCA
Non-coding RNA from Trichechus manatus latirostris (Florida manatee), 71 nucleotides. The record is from the annotation of a RefSeq genome assembly. Lineage: Eukaryota; Metazoa; Chordata; Mammalia; Sirenia; Trichechidae.